Molecule: long non-coding RNA, 2213 nt
Organism: Megalobrama amblycephala (Wuchang bream)
Lineage: Eukaryota; Metazoa; Chordata; Actinopteri; Cypriniformes; Xenocyprididae
Exons: 2
Source: RefSeq, a predicted model, not a curated record
CUCACCUGCCUGUAUCUUUCCCUUCAGACCUUGAUUAGCUUGUUCAGAUGUUUGAUUAGGGUUGGAGCUAAACUCUACAGGACUGUGGCUCUCCAGGACCAACGUUCGCCACCCCUGUCCUAGCAACUAUAUGAAAAUGUGCUAAAAAAAAAAUCCAUUCAGAACACUUUAGCAACAAUAUAUCAAUGCUGGGUGAGUUUUGAGAAUAAGCAUUAUUUACAAUUACGGAAGAUGCAUAUAUUUAGUUUUCUUUUUGCUCUAAAUUUGUGUUCUUGACACUUUCAGAAGUGUUCAGAUCAUGCAUGUCGAGAUUUUCAGAACAGUUAGUGCCAUGAAGAAAACCAGAGAGCAAAUUUCAGAGAUGCUGCCUCUGUGGAUUUCAGUGCCCGUGGGAAUGGAUUGAUUCUGGAAAGCAAGUCGAAUGUUGCAACAGGCUAUGCAAGAUUAGAAAUAUUACUUACUUUGGAAUUCAUUAGCAGUUUUUUGUGUGAAAUGUGGAUAUUUUGGCUUCAAAGAAGAAUGCAUUCUUGUCUGAGCCUGAUAAGGAGUUUCAGAUAUUCAAGAAAGAAGUUGUAUUUUAACAAUAUAAAUUUAAAAUGGUAAAUAGCCCAGUCAUGUGCUCAAGGCUGGUUUCUCAGAAUUGCACAGAAUAUUAAAAAUUGAUGAAGAAUUUCAUAACAUAUAUAAAUAUAUAUAUUAUCAAUGCUUCUUAGUUGACAGGCAAUAUAUUUAACAUCUCAUGCUUUUAGAUAAACUUAGCUCCUAAAGGGCUACAGUCCUGCAAAGUCCUGCUCAAAAACACCUGCCAUGUUGCUUUAAGUAAUCCUGAAGGCCUUCAUUAGCUGGUUCAUGUGCAUGUGUUUAGUUCAAGUUGGAGCUAAACUCUGUGAAACUGAGUUUGACACUUUUCAGAUUUUUCUUCAAAUACCCCGUUAAUCUCACACGCAAUUGUUAAAUAAAGCUGUAAUAAAGACCAAAUACACAGUGUAGAGUUUAAAGGUGAAGUUAAACUCUUGAAUUAGAACCAAAAACGUACUCCUUGACUUUCUAUGGAAUGCAGUAGAAUGUGACUGAAUACAUACUUUCUGAUGUCAUUCAUCAUAAUUUUUUACAGUAAAAGCCUGUAAAAAUGCAACGGUAAAAACCUGUUAAUUGGUUAACAGUAGUUUACUUUCUCUAUACAGUGAAAAGCUGUAAUAAACCUAAUGAGACUCUUAAAUUUACAGUUUUUGGAAGUGAAAAUUACAGUGAGAAACUGUACACUGACAUAUCACCAUCUAUCUCACCUUCCCCAAACUCCAUUUCCCAGCAUUCCUCCUUCUGCUCACCUGCUCACCCUCAGCAAUCACCCGCACCUGAUCAUCAUCACCUCAUCGCCACAGCAGCAUAAAUGCACACACUUCACCCUAGCACAUUGUCUGGUCUCAUUAGUAUAUGGACUCACUUACAUUGUUCAGCGUAUGCUAUUGUCUGCAGCGUCUCCCUGAUUUAUCUGUGUCUCCAGUGUCUUCAUUCCCCGGACUCCUUCCACACUCCACCAUCUCCACCUAAAAACCCAGACAUACUAAAAAGAAGAUGAGCAGGAAUUAAAAAGAUGUGUGGGACUUUGCGGGACAGCGGCAGCCGGGAUCUGUUUUCCUACACCGCAAAAUUUUGCCUCCUCUUCCAGACCAGCCUCUUGGUAGACAAGACCAUCAAGGCUUUGUACAAGAUUGGGGCCAACUAUGUUGAGGCGACUCCCUUCCUCGUCCAGAGCCCAGAGGCGACUCCAGUCCCUGAGCCCGUUCCAGAAUCCGCUCCAGCCCUGCUGCUCACCUGCUCACGCUCAGCAAUCACCCGCACCUGAUCAUCAUCACCUCAUCGCCACAGCAGCAUAAAUGCACACACUUCACCCUAGCACAUUGUCUGGUCUCGUUAGUAUAUGGACUCACUUACCUGUCGAUACUUUCCUUGUUCAGCGUAUGCUAUUGUCUCCAGAGUCUCCCUGAUCCUCUGUGUCUCCAGUGUCUUCAUUCCCCGGACUCCUUCCACACUCCACCAUCUCCACCUAAGUGUGUGCUCGGCUGCUCACAUCUACUAUCUCCUCCAACCACCUGCAAAGACAAAGAACUGUCAGUAUUCUCUCUCAUUAUUACAUUCCUGCUUUGACUGUCAUACUCACCUACCUGUUUGCCAUACCUGCCACGAUCAAUAAACUCUCAUAUUCAUUUCUA